RNAcentral lists this transfer RNA (542 nucleotides) under uncultured cyanobacterium. RNAcentral describes it as "partial contains 16S ribosomal RNA, 16S-23S ribosomal RNA intergenic spacer, and 23S ribosomal RNA". The stretch from base 213 to 285 matches the Rfam family "tRNA". The record is from RNAcentral. Lineage: Bacteria; Bacillati; Cyanobacteriota.
CAGGGAGACAACAAAAUGUUUAAUAUUAUUAUUUUGUCACCUUAGGUCGAUCGGUAUCUCACGUUCUUAAAUUUAUUAAGAAUUUCAUUUCCUAAGUUUUUCUAGGUCACACCCAUUAUUUUUCCUGGGCCAUUAGCUCAGGUGGUUAGAGCGCACCCCUGAUAAGGGUGAGGUCCCUGGUUCAAGUCCAGGAUGGCCCAUAUCUCUAUGUUGGGGGUAUAGCUCAGUUGGUAGAGCGCCUGCUUUGCAAGCAGGAUGUCAGCGGUUCGAGUCCGCUUACCUCCACUGAUCACCACCUCUUCCAUAAUCGGUAGAAAGGAAAUUUUUUGAGUUGUGAUCAAAUUCUGAAAGAAUCUAGCUUCCUAAUGAAAUCAUUAAGAUGCUGGACUCAUUGAAUUAAUUUCAUCGUUUUCAGAGAACCUUGACAACUGCAUAGAUUAUUUUUAAAGACAAUAAGCAUCUUUAAUGAUGCAGAUUUAUUAUUUGUGCAAAUGCAUUAAUAACAAUUCUAUUAAGCUGAUGCUUCAAUAUUUGAAGUUAUU